GGGGGCGUCACGGUUUCGACGGGAACGGUGACCCCGAAAGACGCAGGUCGAGCGUGCUACCGGCUCGUAAAUCCGGUGGAAAAACACAACUGCCAACGACAACUUGGCAUUGGCUGCCUAACUAAACCCUAGGCAACCCGCUCUCCCGGGGCCCCGCCCACGGGAUCUGGAGAGAGCGUCAUAAAGGUGGGCUGGUCCGGCGCCUUCGGUCCGGAGGUAACGGGCGAGAUCAAUCGGACUAGCCGCGGGCGGUUUGGUCCCGCCUUCACGCUCGCGGCGAAAUUUCAGGCGGGACUAAACCUGUAGGGUCUUUCGCAGGCGCGCUUCCGGACGCGGGUUCGACUCCCGCCGCCUCCACCA
This 360-nucleotide transfer-messenger RNA is filed under the name Acidobacteriota bacterium. RNAcentral describes it as "Acidobacteria bacterium transfer-messenger RNA". It matches the Rfam family "transfer-messenger RNA". From Rfam's summary of the family: Bacterial tmRNA, also known as 10Sa RNA or SsrA, is named for its dual tRNA and mRNA-like properties. Its role is to liberate the mRNA from a stalled ribosome. The record is from RNAcentral. RNAcentral also lists the same sequence under 1 other name. Lineage: Bacteria; Pseudomonadati; Acidobacteriota.